RNAcentral lists this ribosomal RNA (433 nucleotides) under uncultured bacterium. RNAcentral describes it as "partial 16S ribosomal RNA". It matches the Rfam family "Bacterial small subunit ribosomal RNA", at positions 29 to 507 of the family's 1533-position model. The record is from RNAcentral.
AACGAACGCUGGCGGCAGGCCUAACACAUGCAAGUCGAGCGAGGACUUCGGUUCUAGCGGCGGACGGGUGAGUAACGCGUGGGAAUGUGCCCUUCUCUACGGAAUAGCCCUGGGAAACUGGGAGUAAUACCGUAUACGCCCUAUUGGGGAAAGAUUUAUCGGAGAAGGAUCAGCCCGCGUUGGAUUAGGUAGUUGGUGGGGUAAUGGCCUACCAAGCUGACGAUCCAUAGCUGGUUUGAGAGGAUGAUCAGCCACACUGGGACUGAGACACGGCCCAGACUCCUACGGGAGGCAGCAGUGGGGAAUCUUAGACAAUGGGGGCAACCCUGAUCUAGCCAUGCCGCGUGAGUGAUGAAGGCCUUAGGGUUGUAAAGCUCUUUCAGCUGGGAAGAUAAUGACGGUACCAGCAGAAGAAGCCCCGGCUAACUCCGUG